CACCGUUAUCGGUUCAAUAUAGCUAGUUGCAAAUGACAACAAAGCUCCAAUGGCUCUAGCUGCGUAAGCAGUUCGAAACAUUGAAAACUUAAGUCCUGUUGCUUAGCAGCGGCAGGCGGGGUUCGGAGGUACCUGGCAACAGAAACCUCCACU
Molecule: transfer-messenger RNA, 153 nt
Filed under: Planktomarina sp.
Lineage: Bacteria; Pseudomonadati; Pseudomonadota; Alphaproteobacteria; Rhodobacterales; Paracoccaceae
Description: partial transfer-messenger RNA
Rfam family: Alphaproteobacteria transfer-messenger RNA
About the family: Bacterial tmRNA, also known as 10Sa RNA or SsrA, is named for its dual tRNA and mRNA-like properties. Its role is to liberate the mRNA from a stalled ribosome. To accomplish this part of the tmRNA is used as a reading frame that ends in a translation stop signal.
Source: RNAcentral